RNAcentral lists this microRNA precursor (85 nucleotides) under Bombyx mori (domestic silkworm). RNAcentral describes it as "mir-2807 microRNA precursor family". It matches the Rfam family "mir-2807 microRNA precursor family". Lineage: Eukaryota; Metazoa; Arthropoda; Insecta; Lepidoptera; Bombycidae. The record is from Rfam by way of RNAcentral.
UUAACUCAAGUUUUCUAUGGCGUCGGAACGUUUGCGUACGUUUGCCGCUACGGGCGCUGUUCCAACUGCAUACAAAUUUGAGUUA